GCAAGUCGAACGGCAGCACGGGCUUCGGCCUGGUGGCGAGUGGCGGACGGGUGAGUAAAGCGUAGGAACCUAUCCUUUUGUGGGGGACAACCCAGGGAAACUUGGGCUAAUACCGCAUAAGUCCUGAGGGAGAAAGCGGGGGAUCUUCGGACCUCGUGCUGAAGGAGGGGCCUACGUCCGAUUAGCUAGUUGGUAGGGUAAAGGCCUACCAAGGCGACGAUCGGUAGCUGGUCUGAGAGGACGAUCAGCCACACUGGGACUGAGACACGGCCCAGACUCCUACGGGAGGCAGCAGUGGGGAAUUUUUCGCAAUGGGGGCAACCCUGACGAAGCAAUGCCGCGUGAAUGAAGAAGGCCUUCGGGUUGUAAAGUUCUUUCGUGGGAGACGAAAAGGCAAGCGCUAAUAUCGUUUGCUGUUGACGUGAACCCAAGAAGAAGCACCGGCUAACUCCGUGCCAGCAGCCGCGGUAAUACGGAGGGUGCGAGCGUUAAUCGGAAUCACUGGGCGUAAAGGGCGCGUAGGCGGUUAGUUACGUCUGCCGUGAAAUCCCCGGGCUCAACCUGGGAAU
RNAcentral lists this ribosomal RNA (569 nucleotides) under uncultured Acidithiobacillus sp. RNAcentral's name for it is "bacterial SSU rRNA". It matches the Rfam family "Bacterial small subunit ribosomal RNA", at positions 57 to 621 of the family's 1533-position model. The record is from RNAcentral. Lineage: Bacteria; Pseudomonadati; Pseudomonadota; Acidithiobacillia; Acidithiobacillales; Acidithiobacillaceae.